GAUGAACGCUGGCGGCGUGCCUAAUACAUGCAAGUCGAGCGAACAGACGAGGAGCUUGCUCCUCUGACGUUAGCGGCGGACGGGUGAGUAACACGUGGAUAACCUACCUAUAAGACUUGGAUAACUUUGGGAAACCGGAGCUAAUACCGGAUAAUAUAUUGAACCUCAUGGUUCAAUAGUGAAAGACGGUUUUGCUGUCACUUAUAGAUGUAUCCGCGCCGCAUUAGCUAGUUGGUAAGGUAACGGCUUACCAAGGCGACGAUGCGUAGCCGACCUGAGAGGGUGAGCGGCCAGACUGGAACUGAGAGACGGUCAAGACUCCUACGGGAGGCAGCAGUAGGGAAUCUUCCGCAAUGGGCGAAAGCAUGACGGAGAAACGCCGCGUGAGUGAUGAAGGUCUUCGGAUCGUAAAACUCUGUUAUUAGGGAAGAACAAAUGUGUAAGUAUCUAUGCACGUCUUGACGGUACCUAAUCAGAAAGCCACGGCUAACUACGUG
This 497-nucleotide ribosomal RNA is filed under the name uncultured bacterium. Its description in RNAcentral is "partial 16S ribosomal RNA". It matches the Rfam family "Bacterial small subunit ribosomal RNA", at positions 28 to 507 of the family's 1533-position model. The record is from RNAcentral.